Molecule: long non-coding RNA, 1573 nt
Filed under: Cyanistes caeruleus (blue tit)
Lineage: Eukaryota; Metazoa; Chordata; Aves; Passeriformes; Paridae
Description: lncRNA (ENSCCEG00000007813.1)
Source: RNAcentral
GAUUUCGGGGGGUUUGGGACCCCUGUCCUGAGGAAAAACCGGGAUUUGGGGGGAAAACCCGGGAUUUGGGGGGAAAAAAACCGGGAUUUGGGGGGAAAACCCGGGAUUUGGGGGGGAAAAAAACCGGAAUUUGGGGAAAGAACCGGGAUUUGGGGGGGUUUGGAGGAAUUUCGGGGGGUUUGGGAGCCCUCUCCUGGGGAAAAAGUGGGAUUUGGGAGGGGAAAAAUCGGAUUUGGGGGGAAAAAUCGGGAUUUGGGAGAAAAAUUCCGGGAUUUGGGGGGAAAACCGGGAUUUGGGGGGGUUUGGGAGGGUUUGGGAGCCCUUUCCUGGGGAAAAACCGGGAUUUGGGGGAAAAAUCUGAUUUGGGGGGGGAAAAUCGGGAUUUUGGGGACAGAAUCCCGGAAUUUGGGAAGAAAAUCCCAGGAUUUGGGGAGAAAAUCGCGGAGUUUGGGGGAAAAAAUCCCGGAAUUUGGGAGGAGAAUCCCUGAGUUUGGCGGGGGGAAACCACCGGAUUUAAGGUGAAAAACCGGGGAUGUGAGGGAAAAACUCGGGAUUUAGGGGGAAAAAACCGGGAAUUUGGGGAGAAAAACCUGGAAUUCAGGGGAAUAACCCGAAAUUUGUGGAAAAAUCCGGGAUUUGGGGUGAAAAUCCCGGGAUUUGGGGUGAAAAUCCCGGGAUUUAGGGGCAAAAAACCGGGAAUUUGUGAGGGAAACCCUCUGGAUUUGAGAGGAAAACUCCGGGAUUUGAGGAAAAAUGCGGAAUUUGGGAAAGUUUGGGAUAAUUUUGGAGGAAUUUUGGGGAGUUUGGGCGGAUUUUUGGGGGGGAUUUUUGAGGUUCGGGGGGAUUUUUGGGGCGGUUUUGGGGCUUUUGGAGAGUUUUUGUGUUGUUUUAAGAGGGAUUGAGAGAGAUUUCCGAGGAUUUCAUGGAAUUUGUUUUGGAAUUUGGGGGAUUUUGGAGGUUUUUUUGAGGGAUUUGAGGGAAUUUUGGGGGGAUUUUGGGUGAUUUUGAAGGGUUUUUGUGGGGGGAAAAACGCAAAGAGGGAUUUGCUGAUAACGGAGAUCAAUCAAGGGGGAUGGAUAUCGGGGAUUUAUAUCGGGAUCGAUAUCGGGAUCGAUAUUUCGGAUCGAUAUCGGGAUCGAUAUCGGGAAUCGAUCCCGGCCGUUCCCGCCUUCCCCACACGCGCCGGAACCGGAAAUACGUCACGCCGACUUCCGGCGUGGUGGCUCCAAGAUGGCGGCGCUGGCGCUGAGGGGUUUGGGGCGGCGCUGCCUCCUGGCCCGGCUGGGGCCCGGCCCCACCCUGCACCAGUGAGUGACUGGGAAUGGACUGGAAUGGACUGGGCUGGACUGGGAUGGACUGGAAUGGACUGGGAUGGACUGGGCUGGACUGGGAUGGACUGGGAUGGACUGGGAUGGACUGGGCUGGACUGGGAUGGACUAGGAUGGGAUUUGGGAUGGACUGGGAUGGACUGGGAUGGACUGGGAGGGACUGGGAUGGGCUGGGAUGGACUGGGAUGGACUGGGCUGGACUGGGAUGGACUGGGAGGGACUGGGAUGGGCUGGAAGGCCGAGGU